RNAcentral lists this ribosomal RNA (383 nucleotides) under uncultured bacterium. Its description in RNAcentral is "bacterial SSU rRNA". It matches the Rfam family "Bacterial small subunit ribosomal RNA", at positions 30 to 415 of the family's 1533-position model. The record is from RNAcentral.
AUUGAACGCUGGCGGCAUGCUUUACACAUGCAAGUCGAACGGACUUAGGUGCUUGCACCUAGGUUAGUGGCGAACGGGUGAGUAAUGCAUCGGAACGUACCGUGUAAUGGGGGAUAACGCAGCGAAAGUUGUGCUAAUACCGCAUACGAUCUACGGAUGAAAGCAGGGGAUCGCAAGACCUUGCGCUCUUUGAGCGGCCGAUGUCAGAUUAGCUAGUUGGUGAGGUAAAGGCUCACCAAGGCGACGAUCUGUAGCGGGUCUGAGAGGAUGAUCCGCCACACUGGGACUGAGACACGGCCCAGACUCCUACGGGAGGCAGCAGUGGGGAAUUUUGGACAAUGGGGGCAACCCUGAUCCAGCCAUGCCGCGUGAGUGAAGAAGGC